UACGUAGGGUGCGAGCGUUAAUCGGAAUUACUGGGCGUAAAGCGUGCGCAGGCGGUUUUGUAAGUCAGGUGUGAAAGCCCCGGGCUUAACCUGGGAAUGGCAUUUGGGACUGCAAGGCUGGAGUUUGGCAGAGGAGACUGGAAUUCCUGGUGUAGCAGUGAAAUGCGUAGAUAUCAGGAGGAAUACCGAUGGCGAAGGCAGGUCUCUGGGCUAUAACUGACGCUCAUGCCCGAAAGCGUGGGGAGCAAACAGG
This 253-nucleotide ribosomal RNA is filed under the name uncultured bacterium. RNAcentral describes it as "partial 16S ribosomal RNA". It matches the Rfam family "Bacterial small subunit ribosomal RNA", at positions 524 to 776 of the family's 1533-position model. The record is from RNAcentral.